This 2024-nucleotide long non-coding RNA is filed under the name Vigna radiata. RNAcentral describes it as "long non-coding RNA (VRAD_LNC015502)". Lineage: Eukaryota; Viridiplantae; Streptophyta; Magnoliopsida; Fabales; Fabaceae. The record is from RNAcentral.
GGAGAAGUAAUAAGAGUCUUGGGGUGGGAGUUGAGAAAGAAAGGAAUGGAGUAGAGUCUUGGAGUUGACUUGGUAUGUUAUGGAAAUGAAGAAAAGGAGAUAAGUUGUAAGAGCCUUGAAGAUCUAAGUGGUUUUGGAUGAAAUAGAAACUAACAGGGGUGGUUGUGGUGCAUGCAAAUUACGUAAGGAGUGGAGAAGAAAAAUUAGAAAAAAUAAAAUGGAAGAAUGCAUGGGAAUGAGGUGUGGGACCGUGACAAUUAAAGAAGGAGGGAGAAGAAUGUUGGUGUGGGUUGUAUUUUACGUAGGAGUGUUUCUCCCUGCACCUCACCUCCUUCUUCCUGUACCUCCAAAAUUACUCAUUUGUCCUUCGUUUAAUAAAUUUAAAGCAUAAUUAAUGAUUAUUUAAAUAUAUUCUAUCCUCCCUGCACCUCCACACUCCCUUCGUGUUCACUUUUAUGGCAUUUUUUUCCAUUCAGUUUUACAGUUUAUAUAUUGCUAUUUCUAGUUCUAAUUCUGAUUCGUGGUGUGAUAGUGCUUGUUGGUCGUGGUGAUACUUGGUGGUGGUGAAGAGAGUAAGAAGAAGAGACAGCUCGUGAAGGUCCUAAACUGCGAAUCGCGUUCGCUUCAGCCGCAAUACGAACUGCGGACAACGAAGAUGCACCCCCAAAAUAAACCAACCGCACUUCGAAAUGCGGUUAAGGGGUGCCGCACUUCGAAAUGCAGUUAAGGGUGCCGCAUUUCGAAAAGGGAUUUUUUUAAUUUUCAAAAAUCACCCCUUAUUUUUAAUUUUCAAAUUGUAAAAUUGGAUUUUUUUAAUAUGAAGAUGCAGAGAAAAAUAUAUAAAGGUGAAAUUAAUGCUUCUAGUUCCCAGUAAUUGAUAUUUGCUUUCAUGUUUGUAUUUUAAGCAAUUAACGUUCAUUUUUUCUGUUAUUCUUUUCCAUAUAAUAAUGAUUAUGAAAUUUAAAAUAUUAAUAAUAAGAUGCAUAUUUUAAAAAUUAAAAUUAUAAUAUUUUAAUUUUAAAGAAUUAUUUGAUACUUUAUUUUUUAAAUUUCAGACCCAUGACUUCAUACACACGAAUAGAAAUACCAGGAAAAUUUGUCUAUAUGUAUAAAUUGAUAGAUAAUAUAUUGGAGUAACAGAGAGAAGAGAAAAUGGUGAAAAUAUAACCAAUUUUAGCACCCUUAACCGCAUUUCGAAAUGCGGCACCUCUUAACCGCAUUUCGAAAUGCGGCACCCUUUAACCACAUUUCCAAGUGCGGCACCUCUUAACUGCAUUUCGAAGUGCGGUUCGUUUAUUUUGGGGUGCAUCUUCCUAUCUCUUCUUCUUCCUCUGCUACACCAAGUAUCACGACCAACAAGCACCACCACACCACGGAUCAGAAAUAGAAAUAGCAAUGUAUAAACAGUAAAACGGAAUGAGAAAGAAAUGUCAUAAAAGUGAACGCGAAGUGUGGGGUGCAGGAAGGAUAAAAUAUAAUUAAAUAAUCAUUAAUUAUGCUUUAAAUUUAUUAAAAGAAGGACAAAUGAGUAAUUUGGGAGGUGCAGGAAGAAGGAGGUGAGGUGUAGGGAGAAACACUCUUUACGUAGAGUGAGAAGAAGAGGGUAGUGAAUGUUGAUGAAAAUAAGUAAAUAAAUAAAAUAAAAGAGUGAGUAAAGAGAGGUGGGCCGUGAGCAUUAAAUGGAGGAGAGAGAAUAGUGAAAUGAAAAUUGUAGUGUUUAGGUGUGUGAAGAAAGGUUACGUAAAUGGUAAAAAGGAGAGAGAAAGAGAGAGUUUGGUGAGAAAUGGAUGAUUUCAUGUGGGACCUACUUUGGAAGUGAGAGAAAAUGUAAAUUAAUGUUCUUUGGGUCCACUUGAAAAGUUGGAUGUAGAAGAGAGUGUGUUUAGAGUAAAAAGGGGGUGUAUUGGAUUUAGACGUUUUCUUUGGUGUUGGGAAUUUGGUAAAAAGUGGGGGUGCAUUAGAAAUGUUCUUCUAGUUGAUGAAAGUACAAAAUUAGUAAUUGUAUGGGGGUGCGUCAGUAAAAA